CACGUAGGGGGCGAGCGUUGUCCGGAUUCAUUGGGCGUAAAGAGCUCGUAGGCGGCUCAGUAAGUCGGGUGUGAAACCCUCAGGCUCAACCUGGGGACGCCACUCGAUACUGCUGUGGCUAGAGUCCAGUAGGGGAGUGUGGAAUUCCCGGUGUAGCGGUGAAAUGCGCAGAUAUCAGGAGGAACACCGGUGGCGAAGGCGGAUCUCUGGGCCUUACCUGACGCUCAGGUGCGAAAGCUAGGGGAGCGAACAGG
This 254-nucleotide ribosomal RNA is filed under the name uncultured bacterium. RNAcentral's name for it is "partial 16S ribosomal RNA". It matches the Rfam family "Bacterial small subunit ribosomal RNA", at positions 524 to 776 of the family's 1533-position model. The record is from RNAcentral.